GCUCUCGAGGCCCGAAUGGAGCGGGCGCCGGGCUGCGAAGCCGGAGGUUGGAGGUUCGAGUCCUCCCGAGAGCG
This 74-nucleotide transfer RNA is filed under the name Sandaracinus amylolyticus. It matches the Rfam family "tRNA". From Rfam's summary of the family: Transfer RNA (tRNA) molecules are approximately 80 nucleotides in length. Their secondary structure includes four short double-helical elements and three loops (D, anti-codon, and T loops). Lineage: Bacteria; Pseudomonadati; Myxococcota; Polyangiales; Sandaracinaceae. The record is from Rfam by way of RNAcentral.